CAGCCGCCGCGGUAAUACGUAGGGUGCGAGCGUUAAUCGGAAUUACUGGGCGUAAAGCGUGCGCAGGCGGUUUUGUAAGACAGGCGUGAAAUCCCCGGGCUCAACCUGGGAACGGCGCUUGUGACUGCAAAGCUAGAGUGCGGCAGAGGGGGAUGGAAUUCCGCGUGUAGCAGUGAAAUGCGUAGAUAUGCGGAGGAACACCGAUGGCGAAGGCGACUCUCUGGUCUGCAACUGACGCUGAGGAGCGAAAGCGUGGGGAGCGAACAGGAUUAGAUACCCGCGUAGUCCCUGUCUCUUAUAC
This 301-nucleotide ribosomal RNA is filed under the name uncultured bacterium. Its description in RNAcentral is "partial 16S ribosomal RNA". It matches the Rfam family "Bacterial small subunit ribosomal RNA", at positions 509 to 807 of the family's 1533-position model. The record is from RNAcentral.